GGACUUUUUUUAUAUACCAUCAGAAUCUUUAUGUCUACAGAUCAGUUUUUGAAUCAUCGCCCUUCUAUUUCAGAAGUUGUAAAUCCCUUCAGGAAGUAAAGUCAUACUGUUAGAUAAUCUGUUUUAAUGUAAAGCCAUGAUUCCACAGAGGUUAGAUGGUCAGAUGAUCUGUUGUAACGCCAUGAUUCCCGAGGGUAGGGUUGAGGACAAGCGGGACUCUUGGAGGAAUGAGUCUGACAUAAGAACUGGUGUUUUUCACCUUGCCCGCCUCAGGGCUGCUCAUAGUACUUGGGGCCAGAGCCUGCGUGAAUACGUCUGUGUGGACCGUUCAGCUGCCAUGUUGGGUCUAGCUGAAAAGCUCCUUAAAGGUCCAGUUUGACGUAGUAGUAUCAGCCUUCGCCCUCAGUGAACUACCCAGCAGGGCCGAUCGCACUGAGGUACUUCAGAACUUGUGGCGUAAGACAAGCCAUUUUCUGGUAUUGGUGGAGAACGGAACAAAAGCUGGGCACCGACUUCUCAUGGACGCCAGGAACCUGAUCCUCGGGGACAAAGAGAAGUCGCCCCUGGACCUGCGACCUAGCUUUGUCUUUGCCCCAGUAAGUACUGCUUCCCCCUGUCCUGCUGCCCAGAUCCAGGCUUCAUUGUAGUCCGUGAAGAGCACUCUACACCCCCUCCAAUGGUUCCCUCUGCCUUCCCAGCCCCUUGUCCCCCUUGCUCCCUCCCUCCUGAUCCAAAGGAAGCUAACCGCUGGCCCCGAAUCACGCAGCCUGUUCUUAAACGGCCUCGCCAUGUGCAUUGUCACCUCUGUUGUCCAGAUGGGCACAUGCAGCACGCUGUGGUCACAGCCCGUCGGCACGGCAGGUAGAGGAGAUACGGCCAUCUGAGUGAGUGUAGCAAGAGCCCGCAGCCCACUGAACACCUCUCUCUCUCUCACGCCGCAGGGAUUUAUAUCGCUGUGCCCGCGUCAGCUCCUGGGGAGACCUUUUACCUGUGAUCUCUCCAUCCGAGUUUCCUCCUCCGUCCCCGGCUGAAGAGCCCCCUGAGAGUUGACAAGGAUAUUCCUCCGUCACACCUGCCAAGGGCAAAGCUACCUGGUCCAGGAAGACAGCUCUGGUACCCCUGUGCUUGUAUUUGUUUGAAAUUUUAAUAAUAAAUGUUUUUAA
Molecule: long non-coding RNA, 1163 nt
Filed under: Rattus norvegicus (Norway rat)
Lineage: Eukaryota; Metazoa; Chordata; Mammalia; Rodentia; Muridae
Description: long non-coding RNA NONRATT010367
Source: RNAcentral